GUAGGGAAUAUUCCACAAUGAGCGAAAGCUUGAUGGAGCGACACAGCGUGCACGAUGAAGGUCUUCGGAUUGUAAAGUGCUGUUAUAGGGAAAGAACACCUGGUUGAGGAAAUGCUUCCAGGCUGACGGUACCCUGUCAGAAAGCGAUGGCUAACUAUGUGCCAGCAGCCGCGGUAAUACAUAGGUCGCAAGCGUUAUCCGGAAUUAUUGGGCGUAAAGCGUUCGUAGGCUGUUUAUUAAGUCUGGAGUCAAAUCCCAGGGCUCAACCCUGGCUCGCUUUGGAUACUGGUAAACUAGAGUUAGAUAGAGGUAAGCGGAAUUCCAUGUGAAGCGGUGAAAUGCGUAGAUAUAUGGAAGAACACCAAAGGCGAAGGCAGCUUACUGGGUCUAUACUGACGCUGAGGGACGAAAGCGUGGGGAGCAAACAGGAUUAGAUACCCUGGUAGUCCACGCCGUAAACGAUGAUCAUUAGUCGGUGGAGAGUUCACUGACGCAGCUAACGCAUUAAAUGAUCCGCCUGAGUAGUAUGCUCGCAAGAGUGAAACUUAAAGGAAUUGACGGGGACCCGCACAAGCGGUGGAGCAUGUGGUUUAAUUUGAAGAUACGCGGAGAACCUUACCCACUCUUGACAUCCUUCGCAAUGCUAUAGAGAUAUAGCGGAGGUUAACGGAGUGACAGAUGGUGCAUGGUUGUCGUCAGCUCGUGUCGUGAGAUGUUUGGUCAAGUCCUGCAACGAGCGCAACCCCUAUCUUUAGUUACUAACGAGUCAUGUCGAGGACUCUAGAGAUACUGCCUGGGUAACUGGGAGGAAGGUGGGGAUGACGUCAAAUCAUCAUGCCUCUUACGAGUGGGGCAACACACGUGCUACAAUGGUCGGUACAAAGAGAAGCAAUAUGGCGACAUGGAGCAAAUCUCAAAAAGCCGAUCUCAGUGCGGAUUGGAGUCUGGAAUUCGACUCCAUGA
This 963-nucleotide ribosomal RNA is filed under the name Mycoplasmopsis arginini. RNAcentral describes it as "bacterial SSU rRNA". It matches the Rfam family "Bacterial small subunit ribosomal RNA", at positions 354 to 1323 of the family's 1533-position model. The record is from RNAcentral. Lineage: Bacteria; Bacillati; Mycoplasmatota; Mycoplasmoidales; Metamycoplasmataceae.